Molecule: unclassified non-coding RNA, 391 nt
Filed under: soil metagenome
Description: partial contains 5.8S ribosomal RNA, internal transcribed spacer 2, and large subunit ribosomal RNA
Rfam family: 5.8S ribosomal RNA (bases 1-122)
Source: RNAcentral
GAUGAAGAACGCAGCGAAAUGCGAUACUUGGUGUGAAUUGCAGAAUCCCGUGAACCAUCGAGUCUUUGAACGCAAGUUGCGCCCGAAGCCAUUAGGCCGAGGGCACGCCUGCCUGGGCGUCACACGUCGUUGCCCCCCCAUCUACUCCUUCGGGAUUGCGGGGGGCGGAUGAUGGCCUCUCGUGCGCCUCGUCGCGCGGUUGGCAUAAAUGCCAAGUCCUCGGCGACGCACGCCACGACAAUCGGUGGUUGCGAAACCUCGGUUGCCCGUCGUGUGCGGUCGUCGCGCAUCGAGGGCUCGAAAAAAUUGCCGGGCUCCGGCUCGGCUUUCAACGCGACCCCAGGUCAGGCGGGGUUACCCGCUGAAUUUAAGCAUAUCAAUAAGCGGAGGA